Non-coding RNA from Nylanderia fulva, 125 nucleotides. The record is from RefSeq and is a predicted model, not a curated record. Lineage: Eukaryota; Metazoa; Arthropoda; Insecta; Hymenoptera; Formicidae.
AGAAGAUUAACAUCUCAGCAACUAACCUCGAUGUACUCAAACACCGAAAUGGCAGAUAUACCAAUGCAUGAAGCCGACCACGUCGCCGCCGAGCCCGUCGCCGCCGGCCCCGUUGCCGCCGAAUA